RNAcentral lists this unclassified non-coding RNA (200 nucleotides) under soil metagenome. RNAcentral's name for it is "partial contains internal transcribed spacer 2 and large subunit ribosomal RNA". The record is from RNAcentral.
AUGAAUGGAUUUGGACGCUGCCGUAGCCGGCUCGUCUUGAAAUGCAUUAGCUGUGCGCCCAUUAGUGUGCUCGGUGCUGCGUGAUAAUUUCCUCGGCUCGCCUUAGGCCACUUCCAGUGACGCUGCUUCCAAUGGUCCCUCGCGGACAACUGACAUAAAGCUUUGGCCUCAAAUCAGGUAGGACUACCCGCUGAACUUAA